UGGGGGAUAUUGCACAAUGGGCGAAAGCCUGAUGCAGCGACGCCGCGUGGGGGAUGAAGGCUUUCGGGUUGUAAACCUCUUUCGCUAUCGAACAAGGCCCGCUUAGGGUGGGUUGAGGGUAGGUGGAGAAGAAGCGCCGGAUAACUACGUGCCAGCAGCCGCGGUAAUACGGAGGGUGCAAGCGUUAAUCGGAAUUACUGGGCGUAAAGCGCACGCAGGCGGUUGAUUGAGUCAGAUGUGAAAUCCCCGGGCUUAACCCGGGAAUUGCAUCUGAUACUGGUCAGCUAGAGUCUUGUAGAGGGGGGUAGAAUUCCAUGUGUAGCGGUGAAAUGCGUAGAGAUGUGGAGGAAUACCGGUGGCGAAGGCGGCCCCCUGGACAAAGACUGACGCUCAGGUGCGAAAGCGUGGGGAGCAAACAGG
This 420-nucleotide ribosomal RNA is filed under the name Chloroflexota bacterium. Its description in RNAcentral is "Chloroflexi bacterium partial 16S ribosomal RNA". It matches the Rfam family "Bacterial small subunit ribosomal RNA", at positions 355 to 776 of the family's 1533-position model. The record is from RNAcentral. Lineage: Bacteria; Bacillati; Chloroflexota.